CGCAGAGGACCUUGCUGGUGACUCGCUGGCGGAAAUGAUUGGAGGGUGGAACAGCCGUUUCAGUUCGCGCCUUCGUGUGGGGCGGGGACCUAGCGAUUCCAGCCCAACCCAAAGGAGGGGCGGUCUCGCGGGAGAACAGUUUCGCGCGCGCGGGAGCGGGGCACUGGCGGCCAGGGCGUUCCCGGCUGCGCGCGCGGUGCUUACCCCGGGGGAAUUCUGAGCGAGUUCCCGCGCGGGCAGGCUCUGGUGGCGCCCACAGCCCCAAGUCGGAGGGUUCGGGCGGCCCCCGUAACCGUUUUAAAAACUCAGGGCACAUCUGAAAGAGAAAAGGCAGAAACCACUUUAGAUCUGUUGGCAGAUAUGAACAGAUUCACCCCCUAUAUGAAUACGAAGAGAAGAUCGCAUUGCAGCCUGUAGAAGCUGCAAAAGGCAAGAAAAUAAAUUCUCCUCUAGAGCCUCUAGAGGGAAUGCAUCUGUGUCGACACCUUGAUUUUAGUUUGGUAGACUUGUAUAGGACCUCUAACCUAUAUAACUGUAAGAUAAUAAAUUUAUAUCAUUUUAA
Molecule: long non-coding RNA, 562 nt
Organism: Panthera uncia (snow leopard)
Lineage: Eukaryota; Metazoa; Chordata; Mammalia; Carnivora; Felidae
Exons: 2
Source: RefSeq, a predicted model, not a curated record